RNAcentral lists this unclassified non-coding RNA (400 nucleotides) under uncultured fungus. RNAcentral describes it as "sequence contains ITS1". The stretch from base 1 to 106 matches the Rfam family "5.8S ribosomal RNA", at positions 50 to 154 of the family's 154-position model. The record is from RNAcentral. Lineage: Eukaryota; Fungi.
GAACUGCGAAACGUAAUGUGACCUGCACUCUUCGUGAAUCAUCCAAUCUUUGAACGCACUUUGCACCUUGUGGCUCUUGCCACAAGGUAUACUUUUUUGAGUAUCCGUAACCAUCUCACCCCCCUUCGGGUCGGCGGUGGAGGAUGAGAUUCAAGGUGACCCUCGUGGGUGACUCGUCUCUCAAAAAGCAUGGCCGUUACAUGGUAGGUCUCCGUUGGGACCUGAUGGACCAUUGGGAUAACAUCCUACAAUCGUCCUGUCAGUGUCCUUUGAAGCGUUGACCGGCCUAGGCCACCCGGAUCAAGCAGACGACGUAUCAGCCGCCUGCACGAUCACAUUAUGUAUGCCACUCAUACAUGACAUCUGGAUCUCAAAUCAAGUAAGGAUACCCGCUGAACUU